AGUGAACGCUGGCGGUAGGCCUAACACAUGCAAGUCGAACGGCAGCACAGUAAGAGCUUGCUCUUACGGGUGGCGAGUGGCGGACGGGUGAGGAAUACAUCGGAAUCUACUUUUUCGUGGGGGAUAACGUAGGGAAACUUACGCUAAUACCUCAUACGACCUACGGGUGAAAGCAGGGGAUCUUCGGACCUUGCGCGAUUGAAUGAGCCGAUGUCGGAUUAGCUAGUUGGCGGGGUAAAGGCCCACCAAGGCGACGAUCCGUAGCUGGUCUGAGAGGAUGAUCAGCCACACUGGAACUGAGACACGGUACAGACUCCUACGGGAGGCAGCAGUGGGGAAUAUUGGAAAAGGGGAGCAAGCCUGAUCCAGCCAUACCGCGUGGGUGAAGAAGGCCUUCGGGUUGUAAAGCCCUUUUGUGGGGAAAGAAAGGCAGCAGGUUAAUACCCCGCUGUUCUGACGGUACCCAAAGAAUAAGCACCGGCUAACUUCGU
This 491-nucleotide ribosomal RNA is filed under the name uncultured bacterium. Its description in RNAcentral is "partial 16S ribosomal RNA". It matches the Rfam family "Bacterial small subunit ribosomal RNA", at positions 29 to 506 of the family's 1533-position model. The record is from RNAcentral.